UACGGAGGGUGCAAGCGUUAUCCGGAUUCACUGGGUUUAAAGGGUGCGUAGGUGGGCAGUUAAGUCAGUGGUGAAAUCUCCGGGCUCAACCCGGAAACUGCCAUUGAUACUAUCUGUCUUGAAUAUCGUGGAGGUAAGCGGAAUAUGUCAUGUAGCGGUGAAAUGCUUAGAUAUGACAUAGAACACCAAUUGCGAAGGCAGCUUACUACCCGAAUAUUGACACUGAGGCACGAAAGCGUGGGGAUUAAACAGG
Molecule: ribosomal RNA, 253 nt
Filed under: uncultured bacterium
Lineage: Bacteria
Description: partial 16S ribosomal RNA
Rfam family: Bacterial small subunit ribosomal RNA
Source: RNAcentral